AUUCCGGUUGAUCCUGCCGGAGGCCAUUGCUAUUGGGAUCCGAUUUAGCCAUGCUAGUCGCACGAGUUCAGACUCGUGGCGAAUAGCUCAGUAACACGUGGCCAAACUACCCUUCGGAGCUCCAUACCCUCGGGAAACUGAGGUUAAUAGAGCAUCUCACACCACCACUGGAAUGAGUCGUGUGACAAACGCUCCGGCGCUACUCAGACCUCGUCUGAGUGCGCACCGAGACGCUUUGCGUCUCGGUUGCGCCGAAGGAUGUGGCUGCGGCCGAUUAGGUGAGAACCCGGAGACGGAAUCUGAGACAAGAUUCCGGGCCCUACGGGGCGCAGCAGGCGCGAAACCUUUACACUGCACGCCAGUGCGAUAAGGGGAUCCCAAGUGCGCAGGCAUAGAGCCUGCGCUUUUGUACACCGUAAGGAGGUGUACGAAAAGGGCUGGGCAAGACCGUGCCAGCCGCCGCGGUAAUACCGGCAGCCCGAGUGAUGGCCGAUCUUAUUGGGCCUAAAGC
RNAcentral lists this ribosomal RNA (511 nucleotides) under uncultured Halorubrum sp. Its description in RNAcentral is "bacterial SSU rRNA". It matches the Rfam family "Archaeal small subunit ribosomal RNA", at positions 1 to 516 of the family's 1478-position model. The record is from RNAcentral. Lineage: Archaea; Methanobacteriati; Methanobacteriota; Halobacteria; Halobacteriales; Haloferacaceae.